This 255-nucleotide ribosomal RNA is filed under the name uncultured bacterium. Its description in RNAcentral is "partial 16S ribosomal RNA". It matches the Rfam family "Bacterial small subunit ribosomal RNA", at positions 524 to 776 of the family's 1533-position model. The record is from RNAcentral.
UACGGAGGGUGCAAGCGUUAUCCGGAUUCACUGGGUUUAAAGGGUGCGUAGGUGGGUUGGUAAGUCAGUGGUGAAAUCUCCGUGCUUAACAUGGAAACUGCCAUUGAUACUACUGAUUCUUGAAUUUUCAGGAGGUAAGCGGAAUAUGUCAUGUAGCGGUGAAAUGCUUAGAUAUGACAUAGAACACCAAAUUGCGAAGGCAGCUUACUACACAACGAUUGACGCUGAGGCACGAAAGCGUGGGGAUCAAACAGG